UCUAUUCCUGCAAGCAAUCAAAGAACAAGCAAGAAUAUGAUUAAGCAAUCUGAAUAUUAUGAAUGUGGAUGAAGUAUUGAUAAAAGUGGGGUUUCAUAAGCGGUCUUGGUCUGGUCGUUGGACAUAAACGAAGUACACGAAGUUGCAGCGAUGGCUAACUUUUAACUAAAUAAAACUCAAGUCUAAACGAUGCCUUAAGGGCUAUAUUUAUAGAGAAAAGAGAGGGGAUUUUGUCCACCCUUGGCAAGGUGGGACUAAAACACCUCCUAAGUCGUUUCCCCUACAAUAUGGACUCUAAAAAUAGAUUACAUGGGUCUGGCCCAAAAUAAGGUGGCGCAACACCAAUAAUAAGCUAUGGACGAAAUUUAUGAAAGACCAUCUUGUAUAUUUCUUCCAUCUUCUUGUAUGUCAUCAUGGUGGCUUCAAAGUCCGGAAAUCUCCACUUGAACCUCCGUUCUUGUUCUCUUCGCACGCACCUUCAUCUCCGUGCUUGACCAUGCUCCAAUGCUCAACCUUCUUAUCCGUGCUAGGCCCUUCAAUUGCAAGCAACACAAAUGUAUCUAAGUUAGGCAGCAUCAUAUUCUCAUGAACACUAGAAACAUUACCAAGAAACGAAAGUACCUGAUAAUCUAAUUGGCGUAUCUGAGCUCUAGCAACUGUUCCAAGAGGUAAAACAGCAGGGGAUAUGGGUGUAACUGUGGUAGCCAUGUCCUCAUCAUCCUCCCCUUCUUGAAAACAAAGCCGUCCUCGGCGUUUCUUAAUCUGAAAUCUGGCUAACAAAAGAGACAAGGUGUACAUGUUGUAUAUGUAUAUGUCAUCCAUUUUUACUGAUCUCAGUUGGGGCACAUGUGACACAGUUAUACAAGAGCACCCUUCAAAAGUCAUGAAAUAUAAAUCCAAUAUAUUAUCACAAGAAGUCAAAGGCAUGAAAAUAUUGCAACUCAGUUUGCACAUAUAAGUGAAGCUCUUAUUCAUAUCAAAAGAUUGACAAUGCUUAUCAUUAAACCAUCCCAACAUUGAUGAACCAUCACCAAGAUUAUAGGUCAUAUCAAAGUGAUUAAACAUUGGCACAAUUAUUUUCGAACGUAUUUGAUCCAAAUCUGAUUUAUUCCAUGACUCACUUGAUUCUUUUGCAUCGAUAGUUAAUUCAAUGGGUUCACUCAAAAUUGUUUGAUCAUAUGGCAAAGUCAAAUCAUCAACAUAGUCCUCUAAAAUAGCUGGUGUGAUCAAAGUAGUGCCGCUCACCGCAUGGAGCAUUUAAAUUGACAAGACAUUCAUCAUACUCAUGUGGAGGUGGAAGAUUAGUACCUUUGUCAUUACCUCUUAUGAUCAACUCACAUGAUGUAGGCACUCUUGGUGAUGAUGUGUCACAUGGUGGAGGUGAUGUAGUCCUCACAACAACGGAUGUGGUUGUCAUAGUAUGCCUAGUAGUUGAAGGGACAACCGUAUCAACUCUUGGAAUGUGCAUCUCGCGCUUGUUCUCCUUGUGGGCAACACGUCGUUUUAUUUCCUGUUCAGCUUUGCAAGCAAGAUGAAACAAAUGGUCCAUAGGAUAACACUAUUCAUGAAUUAGUAUCUCCUGAAUGUCACGAUUUAAUCCUCCCCAAAAUUUAUCCAUAAAAUCUUCUUCACUUUCUACUAAAGAGGAAUGCAGCAGGGUAGUUUGUAAAGUAUCAUAAUAUGCGUUACGGUGUCACUACCUUGUUUUAAAUGUUGCAGCUUUUUAAUCAUGUCACGAGUAUAAUAAGCGGGAACGAAUGUAUGUCGCAUGGCAAGUUUCAGAUCAUCCCAAGUAGUAGGUAUAUCAUUAGGGUGUAACCGACAAUAUUCACUCCACCAAACUAUAGCAUAACCAGUGAAAGAACCAACCGCAACCUUAACUUUUUUACAUUCAUCAAAUUUAUUGGAAGCAAAAGUAUUAUUUAUGUCAAACUCCCAUUCAAUAUAUAAAGCGGGUCUAAAACGGCCAUUAAAUGGUGGUAUAAAAACAUUAACCUGAUCAUGUGCAUUUGGAUGUUUGUGCACCUUUCGUGACGGUUGUGGUAUUUGCAUAGGUGAUGGCACGUCUCCCACGAUCGACAAACCCCAUGAAUUGACUCUAGAUCCUGUCAUGAUUAGUAGAAACAAGAAACAAAAUCCAAAAAUAAUAUUCAUAUGAACUACUGGAUGGUAAAACACUCACAGUAUAGCAAAUCAAAGUCUUACAAGUUCUUACCAUGCAGCAGGUGGUGACCGGCAACCAGCGGUGUCAAAUAACUCCAAGAGUUGGGUAAAGCGAUUGCCAGGUGAACGUAUGUAUGCACGAUGUAGAAAUAUGUGGAGCUGGGUUGGCUUUAUAUAUGUGGGAAAAAUGCUACAACCACGUUAAUUAAUGCAAGCUGAAAAUUCGUUCAAAGUGAUUGAGUGUUGGUUCUAGGGUAGACUGUGCUAGAGACGCGAGCCUAAGACACAGACAAGUUCACGAAAAACAACUAUAAUGAGCGACGGAAUGGUGGUGUGAAAAUGGACAACCGUCUGAUCUCUGUGAAUAGCACACUUGUACGUGCAAAUAAUAGAUGAAGGGCUCACGACAAAAAAAAUAUGUCUCGGAAAUUGCAUGUCACCAAACUGCAAUGUAUAGUCCAGGGAAACAGAUUCCCAGUUGCUCUCACGUAAAAAGUUGAUGUGGCCACUUUUUUUUUGCAACAACAAUCGUGCCAAACCAGGACACAACUUCAACACGUCAAUGAAGUCCGAACAGACUAUUUGACAUGAGUGGUAAGCUAUAAAAAAAUGAAGUCCGAACAAUGUUUUCUUUCCUUUUCUUUGAAACUAUCCACGUGCACACCGAAAACAGAUCUGCAGCAAGUUUUUUUUCCUUUCCAAACGCGCAACCUUUUUUUUUGGCCGACCCUACCUUCACACGUAGAAUCUGUCAACCACCAAACCGUUUUUUUUACUGCUCCCUCUCUCUUAUCUCCACGUUUGGCUCUGCGUGCCACCAAGAUAUUCUGGUUUGAAAACAGCACGAAGAUUGGAAACUUAAACCAGUAGGAUUCCCAACGAAAAAAAAACACAACCAGCACUUUCCUUUUCUUUUAAUUUCGUUUGGAAACCCAAACUUGCCAACAAAACUGAUGUGUUCCUCCAAAAUACGUAUCUUUCCUUCCCUAAAUAUCUCUCUUAAUAUUUUUUUUAGUAAAUCUCCACGGAUCUGAUUCUCAAGACCACAAAUCCAAUCUUUCCAAACCAACUCAACCGACCAGCUUUCAAUAACUUGUUUUUUUACCAACGAAGUCUCCCCAGCCAAAAAAAAGGAACUUCUUAUUUUGGGGACCCGGCCAAUAUUUCUUUCCUUUUACUUCUGAAUUUUUUUUCAACAACCACGUGACCUGAUUGACUUGCAAAAGGAAAGAACCACGUCGGGGAUCAGGCCCCUAAAUAUGCACCAUGUUAUUUCGUGGUCAACACUUUCCAAUCUCCACAAAAUCACGAAAUUAAUUGAUGGCUUUAUAUGGAAAACUGGUACACAAAAAAAACUUCCCAAAGGCAGGAAACAAUUAGUUAUUUGGUAGCCGAACAAAACCUCCUUUUUUCUCUCUUUCCAAACGUGAUCUUGCCAAAUAAACAAACCAAUCCACACUUUCCUUCUCUCUUUGUGUGGAGAGACCAAACUGCAGUUUUUUUUUCUCCUUUCUUUUCAAUCUGGCUGAUCCACUUAUAUUUUUUUCCAAAAACCAACGUGGCUGACUAGUACUUUCCAAAUAAACCAAACAACGUGGGAGGGAAUCACGUCCCAAUCCUAACUGAUCUGCUCUUUUUUUUCCUAGCUGAUUUGGUCUCUUUCCUUUUCAACCGAUCCGAGCUUGCUCUCUUUUCUUCCAAUUUUUUAAAGGAACCGUGAGAGAUUGCAACCAACGAUGGAUGUGUGCACCUAACCUUUUUUUUGUGCUUCGGUCUCUACUUGCAAAACGAAUUUGAUCUCUCUUUUUGUAGGAUCUUUCCUCAACUUGUUCUCUCCACGAGACUAAUGAUGCUCCAAGACGGCGACGAACAACAACAAUGGAUGGAUGGUGGUGGUGGCGACAGUGGUAGCGGAAAAUGAGAAUGAGAUGAAUGAUGGUGUAUGUGGACGUGGCGUGAACAAAACGUGACUAAAACUCGAAAUUCUAAAAGUCUAACACCAAAAGCAGCAACUCGACACACGAUGCAACCAAAAAUUCAACAAUGCAAAAACUAAGUGGCAAUGGCGAAAAGGCUGAGACUGUCUGGGAUAUGAUGAACUAAUCUAACUUUUUUGUGGCUUUUCCUUGGACUCUAGGUAUGAAGAACAAAUGCGAUCUAGACUAUGAAAAACUGGAAAAAUCUCACCGAGCAACCUGAAAACUGAUACCACUUGAUAGAGGCGGGGGUGUCCCGAUCUUUCGACGAGAUGAUAACUAUCGAUUUGGUGGAGACGACUUUGACGAUCCGACGCACGACGUUGCGCCUUAGCAAUCGCUAAACCAACUCCGAGAGGUUAUUGACCACGCCGGAGCAUGAUCAACCUGACCACGAAGGUCUAUUCCUGCAAGCAAUCAAAGAACAAGCAAGAAUAUGAUUAAGCAAUCUGAAUAUUAUGAAUGUGGAUGAAGUAUUGAUAGAAGUGGGGUUUCAUAAGCGGUCUUGGUCUGGUCGUUGGACAUAAACGAAGUACACGAAGUUGCAGCGAUGGCUAACUUUUAACUAAAUAAAACCCCCAAGUCUAAACGAUGCUUUAAGGGCUAUAUUUAUAGAGAAAAGAGAGGGGAUUUUGUCCACCCUUGGCAAGGUGGGACUAAAACACCUCCUAAGUCGUUUCCCCUACAAUAUGGACUCUAAAAAUAGAUUACAUGGGUCUGGCCCAAAAUAAGGUGGCGCAACACCAAUAAUAAGCUAUGGACGAAAUUUAUGAAAGACCAUCUUGUAUAUUUCUUCCAUCUUCGUGUAUGUCAUCAUGGUGGCUUUAAGGUCCGGAAAUCUCCACUUGAACCUCCGUUCUUGUUCUCUUCGCACGCACCUUCAUCUCCGUGCUUGACCAUGCUCCAAUGCUCAACCUUCUUAUCCGUGCUAGGUCCUUCAAUUGCAAGCAACACAAAUGUAUCUAAGUUAGGCAGCAUCAUGAUGAACACUAGAAACAUUACCAAGAAACGAAAGUACCUGAUAAUCUAAUUGGCGUAUCUGAGCUCUAGCAACUGUUCCAAGAGGUAAAACAACAGGGGAUAUUGGUGUAACUGUGGUAGCCAUGUCCUCAUCAUGCGAGGUAGGCAACGAGGUCCUCCAUGGUGAGCAACCUCCGUCAACUUCGUUGCCUCAUAGGGGGGCAGGCCGCCACAGCCCUGCCGUGCCGCCUCCCACGCCGCACCGCCGUGGUGCAUCUCCACCCCCACCUCGCAUAAAACGACCACCUGUGCAACUCCUGCCCCGAGGCAGGGUCUCCGUCGGCACCUCGAUGGCACCACCUUCAACCCCCCUCCCCCUCUCCUCUGCAACCAUCGUGGAGGUUGGGUGGGACGUGAAGACGAGAAGGUUUGGGAAGAGCUGAUCUGAGGAGGGCGCCUUCUCCAGUGGCGGGCCGCCGGAGGAGCUGGGAUGCGCCGAUGGGGCGGGGCGGCGGCUGCAGCAACCCUAUCCCACCCGGGGAAGGGAGAAAGGAAAGGGGAG
RNAcentral lists this long non-coding RNA (5661 nucleotides) under Triticum aestivum (bread wheat). Its description in RNAcentral is "long non-coding RNA (TAES_LNC013286)". Lineage: Eukaryota; Viridiplantae; Streptophyta; Magnoliopsida; Poales; Poaceae. The record is from RNAcentral.